This 253-nucleotide ribosomal RNA is filed under the name uncultured bacterium. Its description in RNAcentral is "partial 16S ribosomal RNA". It matches the Rfam family "Bacterial small subunit ribosomal RNA", at positions 524 to 776 of the family's 1533-position model. The record is from RNAcentral.
UACAGAGGGUGCAAGCGUUGUUCGGAAUUACUGGGCGUAAAGGGCUCGUAGGCGGCCAACUAAGUCACACGUGAAAUCCCCAGGCUUAACCUGGGAACUGCGUGUGAUACUGGAUGGCUUGAAUUCGGGAGAGGGAUGCAGAAUUCCGGGUGUAGCGGUGAAAUGCGUAGAUAUCUGGAGGAAUACCGGUGGCGAAGGCGGCAUCCUGGACCGACAUUGACGCUGAUGAGCGAAAGCUAGGGGAGCAAACGGG